CAGACAUCAUUUUUUUUAAAGCAGAUAUCAUUUUUAAGCUCUGCUCUUUCACUUCUGCAGAAAACGUUGUAGAGAUUGGUUUUCCCAUAAGAUUUUAUUUUCUGCAGUCUGUAUUUCUUUUCAAAGAUUUCAAACUAGCUCUUGAUGUCUGAAAGCGUACUAUCUUUUGCAUAUGCAUUUUCCUUAUUUUAUUUAAUGUAAACCUUGCCUGAAUGCUUUUCCUAAUUAUGAGGUAACUAAUUAUCAGGAUCACAUUUCUCUGGGCCUGAUCUUCUGCUCAUUUGUAUCACUCAGGAUUCCUGGAUAACAGAAACUCAACUUGAUCUACCGGUAGCAAAGAUUCAGUCACUACUCAGGCCCAAGUACCUGGUGGAAAGAUAUUGGGACUUUUGAGUCAGACCACGUCAGAAUCGGAGCUCUGCUUCUUACUAUGAGGACUUAAGCAAGCUUCUUAGCCACCAGAAGCCACAUCUUCCUCAACUGUAAAAUGGGACUUCUAGUCAGGAAUGUCAAUACUACAGUUUUCCUUGGGACGCCUAGGUGGCUCAGCGGUUGAGCAUCUGCCUUUGGCUCAGGGCAUGAUCCCACAAUCCCGAGAUUGAGACCCACAUCGGGCACCCUGCAUGGAACCUGCUUCUCCC
Molecule: long non-coding RNA, 641 nt
Organism: Canis lupus familiaris (dog)
Lineage: Eukaryota; Metazoa; Chordata; Mammalia; Carnivora; Canidae
Exons: 3
Source: RefSeq, a predicted model, not a curated record